AGAGUUUGCCGUAGAGCGCGGCAAACAAAAAAUAAAAAAAGCUCAAUUGA
RNAcentral lists this non-coding RNA (50 nucleotides) under unclassified sequences. Its description in RNAcentral is "6A RNA". It matches the Rfam family "6A RNA". From Rfam's summary of the family: Actinobacteria (1 example), Firmicutes, Fusobacteria. The record is from RNAcentral.